GUAGGUGGCAAGCGUUGUCCGGAAUUAUUGGGCGUAAAGCGCGCGCAGGCGGUCCUUUAAGUCUGAUGUGAAAGCCCACGGCUCAACCGUGGAGGGUCAUUGGAAACUGGGGGACUUGAGUACAGAAGAGGAAAGCGGAAUUCCAAGUGUAGCGGUGAAAUGCGUAGAGAUUUGGAGGAACACCAGUGGCGAAGGCGGCUUUCUGGUCUGUAACUGACGCUGAGGCGCGAAAGCGUGGGGAGCAAACAGGGAUUAGAUACCCUGGUAGUCCACGCCGUAAACGAUGAGUGCUAAGUGUUAAGGGGGGUUUCCCGCCCCCCUUAGUGCUGCAGCUAACGCAUUAAGCACUCCGCCUGGGGAGUACGGCCGCAAGGCUG
This 377-nucleotide ribosomal RNA is filed under the name uncultured organism. RNAcentral describes it as "partial 16S ribosomal RNA". It matches the Rfam family "Bacterial small subunit ribosomal RNA", at positions 527 to 896 of the family's 1533-position model. The record is from RNAcentral.